This 874-nucleotide long non-coding RNA is filed under the name Apis florea (little honeybee). RNAcentral's name for it is "uncharacterized LOC116415326, transcript variant X1". The record is from RNAcentral. Lineage: Eukaryota; Metazoa; Arthropoda; Insecta; Hymenoptera; Apidae.
AAUGUAAUACAUUAUUAUUUUAAAUUUUUAGUGUGCAAGAACGAAAUUACAGCAAUUCAUUGUCAUUGUCGUAAAUGAAACAGGUUAUGUUCUGAUUUUUUGAAAGAGCCUAAUGGAAAAUAGUGUUAAAGUGUUUUCUACAUAAGAAAAAAAAAACGAACCUUUUAUAAUAUUUAAUAUUAGUAACGAUAUUUAGUAACAGUAGUAUUCAUUAGUGAGUUUAACUCGGAUCUCUUUAUCAUAAGACAAAGAGAAGGGAAAAAGUGUUCGAACGUGUAAUUAUUCGUCCGUUAAUGGUAUAGUUUGUAUGUGUAUCGUACAGGUGAAGUAGUUCGAAGAAGCAGCAUCCAAAGUAGUAAUCCUUCAUCCUAAGUAUCAUGCUGAGUUUCUGAUCCUUGUCGACGAGCCCUUUGCAUGCAGCCCACAUGAGUGGUGACCAGCAAGACUGAUCGCUUCUAUGUAAAAUAAUAACAUCGAUUCACUCCCCGAGUCACGCAUGGAUUUCACGUUCAUUGACCAGGGAAAACGUAUCAUUAGAUCGCGGAAAUUAGUGGUUGAGAGGAGGAACGCGAAGGAUGUCUGUAUGUGGUGCAAAAACACGUUGAGAAAGAAAUCGAUUGAAUCCGCUGGUUGUAUUGCUGAAAAAAUACAUGGAAAUCCUGUUUGUUUCAAACGGAUAACGUGCUUCCAUUGAAGUCACAAAAAUUAUUUAAAGAGGCGAAGAAAGGAUUACAAAAUUCACUACAUUUAUAUAUUCGCCGUAACAAUUCACCUUAAAAUUACACGAAGCUGCAUAUUCGUCUGAUCAUUCCAAUUCAAUUUUCUCACGCGGGAAGCCAGGUGGUCGACGAGGAAGCGAGAAGAUAAAGAAGAA